CACAGUGUACCCCAUGUAGUGGGGGGAAAUAUUGCACCGGUUUGGGCAAAUCUGAGCCCACAGGGGACUGUGAAGGAGGAUUCUAUUGUAGACAGAGGUCUACGAGUCCAGUUCCUCCUAAUGGUCAUGAAGGGGGUGUGUGUCCUGCUGGCAGUUUCUGCCCACCGGGUUCAGUUCACCCACAGCCCUGCCCUUCAGGAACCUACAGUAACAGCACGGGUCUCCAACAUGCAGAGCAGUGUGUCCACUGUCCUCCAGGUUAUUAUUGUUUAGGAACAAACUCUACGUCCCCUUCUGGUCCAUGCUUUGCGGGGUAUUACUGCACCGGAGGUUCAGCCACACCAAUCCAACACGAAGCUGAGGAGGGACACUACUCUUUGGAAGGAGCUGUCAGGGCCGAACCAUGCCCAUUGGGAACUUUCCAACUAGGAAGAGGCUACAACUCAUGCAUUGAAUGCCAAUCAGGAAGAUUGUGCAACAAGACAGGCCUAUCCCAGCAGCCCCUGUGCCCACCUGGAAACUUCUGCCCUGCUGGAUCCUUAAUUGCUCACCCAUGUCCCCCUGGUACAUACACGGCAAGUUCAGGGGUGGAGGAUCUGCAGCACUGCGGCCCAUGUGAUGCUGGUCAGUACUGCCGCUCUCCUGGACUGACUGCUCCUCAGGGACCCUCAGGCACCAGGCACCCUCAUGAGUACCCCUGUCCUCCUGGAACCUGGAGUAAUGCACUGGGGGCCCAAAAUGUGUCAUCGUGUUGGCUCUGCCCUGCUGGAUUCUUCUGCAACAGCUCUGGCCUCACUCAGCCCACUGGAAUAUGUGCUCCAGGGUUUUAUUGUGCGGGAGGCGCUAAAACGGCUAUGCCUGAUGAUGGGGUUACAGGAAACAGGUGUCCGACGCGGUAUUACUGUCCACAGGGGUGUACUUCACCUCUGCACUGCCCUGAUGGAACACACUCAAAUAGCACAGGUGCUGCAGAAUGCAGUGACUGUCCCACUGGAUGGUUGUGUCUGGAGGGGGAGGAGCUCCAGUUGUGUCCAGAGGGACAUUACUGCCUGGGGGGCACAGUGGAGGACAUACUCCCCUGCCCUCCAGGCACAUACAGCCCCAAAGCAG
Cyprinus carpio carpio is the source of this 1110-nucleotide long non-coding RNA. Lineage: Eukaryota; Metazoa; Chordata; Actinopteri; Cypriniformes; Cyprinidae. The record is from Ensembl.